RNAcentral lists this long non-coding RNA (247 nucleotides) under Rattus norvegicus (Norway rat). RNAcentral describes it as "long non-coding RNA NONRATT019645". Lineage: Eukaryota; Metazoa; Chordata; Mammalia; Rodentia; Muridae. The record is from RNAcentral.
CUGGCUCAGCUCAAGAUCAGAUAGCCUGCUCUUCCCCUGCCCCCGGACCCGAGCUGGCCUCUGCAGAGAAGGACGGCAUAAGGUAAAUGAUAGGACAAGAAGGGAAACAACUCGCCCAGGACAAAGUACUCUUCUCACAGCUGACUGCAGUAUUUACCUACAAGUGCGUGUUGCCCGGAGAACGUAUGCACUCGGAUGCUCACCAACUCACCCAGGGGAGGCAUGAGGAAAUUGGAAGUCAAGUUUA